RNAcentral lists this ribosomal RNA (312 nucleotides) under Copris fidius. RNAcentral describes it as "partial 16S ribosomal RNA". Lineage: Eukaryota; Metazoa; Arthropoda; Insecta; Coleoptera; Scarabaeidae. The record is from RNAcentral.
UUUAAAUGGCUGCGAUACUCUGAUCGUGCAAAGGUAGCAUAAUAAUUAGUUUUUUAAUUGGGAACUGGAAUGAAAGGUCGAACGAGAAAAAAACUGUCUCAAUCUAAAUUUAAUUAGAAUUUUAUUUUUAAGUAAAAAAGCUUAAAUAAUUUUAAAAGACGAGAAGACCCUAUAGAGUUUUAUAUAAAUAUAAAUAUUUAGAAGUUGAAGAAUUAUAGAUUUWAAUAUUUAUAUUUWUAUUUGGUUGGGGUGAUUAAAAAAUUUAAUGAACUUUUUUUWUWUUAAACCAUUGAUUUAUGAAUAAGUGAUCCA